AUUUAUAUAGUUUAUAAAAACAUUACAUUUUCAAUGUAAAAAUAAAGAAAUAUCUUUUAUAAAUA
This 65-nucleotide transfer RNA is filed under the name Epiophlebia superstes. Its description in RNAcentral is "tRNA-Glu". It matches the Rfam family "tRNA". From Rfam's summary of the family: Transfer RNA (tRNA) molecules are approximately 80 nucleotides in length. Their secondary structure includes four short double-helical elements and three loops (D, anti-codon, and T loops). The record is from RNAcentral. Lineage: Eukaryota; Metazoa; Arthropoda; Insecta; Odonata; Epiophlebiidae.